Long non-coding RNA from Cyprinus carpio carpio, 529 nucleotides. NCBI's taxonomy places the organism in Eukaryota, Metazoa, Chordata, Actinopteri, Cypriniformes, Cyprinidae. The record is from Ensembl.
GUCAUAAUGGCAACGUCCACACAACGUCAAAUUAAAACAUCAUUUGAUGUUGAUCUGUAGUUAGUUUUAGGUUGUGGCAUUAACUAACCAAAAUCCAACGUCGAGCCAACGUCUCAAGCCAACGUCACAUUGACAUCAAAAACUGAUACUUAGUCGUCAGGUAUGGCAACCAAAAUCCAAUGUAUUCAAGACGUCAUAAUGGUAACGUCCAAUCAACGUCAAAUUAUAACGUCAUUUGACUUUGAUCUUUAGUUAGUUUUAGGUUGUGGCAUUAACUAACCAAAAUCCAACGUCGAGCCAACGUCUCAAGCCAACGUCACACUGACAUCAAAUACUGAUGUUUUGUCGUCAGGUAUGGCAACCAAAAUCCAACAUCUUGUAGACGUCAUUAUGGUAACGUCCGAUCAACGUCAAGUUAUAACAUCAUUUGAUGUUGAUCUGUAGUUAGUUUUAGGUUGUGGCAUUAACUAACCAAAAUCCAACAUCAAGACAACGUCUCAAGCGAACGUCAGAUUGACAUCAAAUACUG